RNAcentral lists this transfer RNA (72 nucleotides) under Anaerolineaceae bacterium. RNAcentral describes it as "tRNA-Gln". It matches the Rfam family "tRNA". Rfam says of the family: Transfer RNA (tRNA) molecules are approximately 80 nucleotides in length. Their secondary structure includes four short double-helical elements and three loops (D, anti-codon, and T loops). The record is from RNAcentral. Lineage: Bacteria; Bacillati; Chloroflexota; Anaerolineae; Anaerolineales; Anaerolineaceae.
GCUCCUAUAGUGUAGCGGCUAUCACUGAGGACUUUGAAUCCUCCAACCUCGGUUCGAUCCCGAGUGGGAGCU